AUACGAAGGGGGCUAGCGUUGUUCGGAAUCACUGGGCGUAAAGGGCGCGUAGGCGGCUCUGCGAGUCGGGCGUGAAAUCCCGGGGCUCAACCCCGGAACGGCGCUCGAUACUGCGGGGCUGGAGACCGGAAGAGGAGGGUGGAAUUCCCAGUGUAGAGGUGAAAUUCGUAGAUAUUGGGAGGAACACCGGUGGCGAAAGCGGCUCUCUGGUCCGGUUCUGACGCUGAGGCGCGAAAGCGUGGGGAGCAAACAGGAUUAGAAACCCUAGUAGUCC
This 274-nucleotide ribosomal RNA is filed under the name uncultured bacterium. Its description in RNAcentral is "partial 16S ribosomal RNA". It matches the Rfam family "Bacterial small subunit ribosomal RNA", at positions 523 to 796 of the family's 1533-position model. The record is from RNAcentral.